Molecule: ribosomal RNA, 256 nt
Filed under: uncultured bacterium
Lineage: Bacteria
Description: partial 16S ribosomal RNA
Rfam family: Bacterial small subunit ribosomal RNA
Source: RNAcentral
UACGAAGGGGGCUAGCGUUGCUCGGAAUCACUGGGCGUAAAGCGCACGUAGGCGGUCUUUUAAGUCGGGGGGUGAAAUCCUGGAGCUCAACUCCAGAACUGCCUUCGAUACUGGAAGACUUUGAGUCCGGGGAGAGGUGAGUGGAACUGCGAGUGUAGAGGUGAAAUUCGUAGAUAUUCGCAAGAACACCAGUGGCGAAGGCGGCUCACUGGCCCGGUACUGACGCUGAGGUGCGAAAAGCGUGGGGGAGCAAACA